RNAcentral lists this ribosomal RNA (218 nucleotides) under Thalassiosira minuscula. RNAcentral's name for it is "partial Bacterial small subunit ribosomal RNA". It matches the Rfam family "Bacterial small subunit ribosomal RNA", at positions 342 to 552 of the family's 1533-position model. Lineage: Eukaryota; Bacillariophyta; Thalassiosirophyceae; Thalassiosirales; Thalassiosiraceae. The record is from RNAcentral.
CGGGAGGCAGCAGUGGGGAAUAUUGGACAAUGGGCGAAAGCCUGAUCCAGCCAUGCCGCGUGUGUGAAGAAGGCCUUCGGGUUGUAAAGCACUUUCAGUCGUGAGGAAAGGGAUACGGUUAAUACCCGUGUUCUGUGACGUUAGCGACAGAAGAAGCACCGGCUAACUCCGUGCCAGCAGCCGCGGUAAUACGGAGGGUGCAAGCGUUAAUCGGAAAA